Molecule: ribosomal RNA, 551 nt
Filed under: Pseudomonas sp. bnj_dkc25
Lineage: Bacteria; Pseudomonadati; Pseudomonadota; Gammaproteobacteria; Pseudomonadales; Pseudomonadaceae
Description: bacterial SSU rRNA
Rfam family: Bacterial small subunit ribosomal RNA
Source: RNAcentral
UGACGCUGGCGGCAGGCCUAACACAUGCAAGUCGAGCGGUAGAGAGAAGCUUGCUUCUCUUGAGAGCGGCGGACGGGUGAGUAAUGCCUAGGAAUCUGCCUGGUAGUGGGGGAUAACGUCCGGAAACGGACGCUAAUACCGCAUACGUCCUACGGGAGAAAGCAGGGGACCUUCGGGCCUUGCGCUAUCAGAUGAGCCUAGGUCGGAUUAGCUAGUUGGUGAGGUAAUGGCUCACCAAGGCGACGAUCCGUAACUGGUCUGAGAGGAUGAUCAGUCACACUGGAACUGAGACACGGUCCAGACUCCUACGGGAGGCAGCAGUGGGGAAUAUUGGACAAUGGGCGAAAGCCUGAUCCAGCCAUGCCGCGUGUGUGAAGAAGGUCUUCGGAUUGUAAAGCACUUUAAGUUGGGAGGAAGGGCAGUAAGCUAAUACCUUGCUGUUUUGACGUUACCGACAGAAUAAGCACCGGCUAACUCUGUGCCAGCAGCCGCGGUAAUACAGAGGGUGCAAGCGUUUAAUCGGAAUUACUGGGGCCUAAAAGCGCCGCGUA